AGUGAACGCUGGCGGUAGGCCUAACACACGCAAGUCGAACGGCAGCACAGUAAGAGCUUGCUCUUACGGGUGGCGAGUGGCGGACGGGUGAGGAAUACAUCGGAAUCUACUUUUUCGUGGGGGAUAACGUAGGGAAACUUACGCUAAUACCGCAUACGACCUACGGGUGAAAGCAGGGGAUCUUCGCACCUUGCGCGAUUGAAUGAGCCGAUGUCGGAUUAGCUAGUUGGCGGGGUAAAGGCCCACCAAGGCGCCGAUCCGUAGCUGGUCUGAGAGGAUGAUCAGCCACACUGGAACUGAGACACGGUCCAGACUCCUACGGGAGGCAGCAGUGUGGAAUAUUGGACAAUGGUCGCAAGCCUGAUCCAGCCAUACCGCGUGGGUGAAGAAGGCCUUCGGGUUGUAAAGCCCUUUUGUUGGGAAAGAAAAGCAGCAGGUUAAUACCCCGCUGUUCUGACGGUACCCAAAGAAUAAGCACCGGCUAACUUCGUG
Molecule: ribosomal RNA, 492 nt
Filed under: uncultured bacterium
Lineage: Bacteria
Description: partial 16S ribosomal RNA
Rfam family: Bacterial small subunit ribosomal RNA
Source: RNAcentral